RNAcentral lists this transfer RNA (76 nucleotides) under Bacteroidales bacterium. RNAcentral's name for it is "tRNA-Arg". The stretch from base 10 to 76 matches the Rfam family "tRNA". Rfam says of the family: Transfer RNA (tRNA) molecules are approximately 80 nucleotides in length. Their secondary structure includes four short double-helical elements and three loops (D, anti-codon, and T loops). The record is from RNAcentral. Lineage: Bacteria; Pseudomonadati; Bacteroidota; Bacteroidia; Bacteroidales.
GAUUUACAAGGUUUUAAAAUGGUAGGCUAUCUGCCUUCUAAGCAGUAGGUCGAAGGUUCGAAUCCUUCUUAGAUCA